Molecule: long non-coding RNA, 1970 nt
Filed under: Salmo salar (Atlantic salmon)
Lineage: Eukaryota; Metazoa; Chordata; Actinopteri; Salmoniformes; Salmonidae
Description: lncRNA (ENSSSAG00000116421.1)
Source: RNAcentral
AGUGACGUAGUAAUAAUUGUCCACUUCCUAAGGCUCCCACUAGAUGUCAACAGUCUUUAGAAAGUUGUUUGAGGCGUCUACGAUGAACAGAGACCGAAUGAGAAGGCUGGGAAGUUGGUCACCCAGGGAAUGACAUCACUUCAUUUGCGCGCAUUCACGAGAGUGGUAGCUCUGUUCCAAAACGUUUUUCAAGACACAGGAACCGUCCGGUUGUAAUAUUACUGAAUCUUUACGUUCUAAAGGCCCUAAAGAUUGAUGUUUUACAACGUUUGACAUGUUUGAACGAACGUAAAUACAACUUUUUUAAACUUUUCGUCGUGACAUUGUCCGCGCGCUUCCUACAUUUGGAGUAGCUGAACUGAACGCGCAAACAACAAGGAGUUAUUUGGACAUAAAUUAUGGAGUUUAUCGAACAAAACAACAUUUAUUGUGGACCUGGGAUUCCUGGAAGUGUCUUCUGAUGAAGAUCAUCAAAGAAGUUGGUGUUGGUGCUCUAGACAGAAGCAUACAACAUUGAUGGCCAGCUGCUGUUGACCCCCAAGAGGUUAAUUUGAGUGAGAAAGAGUUGAAAAUGUUAUGCAAUGGCAGCUGCAGCUGCAGCUCCUCAAGCCAUGAUACUUCACGUUGUUGAUGCUGACCAUACAAGGAAGAUAAACCUCAGCUCCAGCAUCUGUUGAUGACUUGAUAAACAUUUUGAAGGCCAAGUUUGAGUUUGACUACAACUUCCGCUUGCAGUAUGAAGACCUUGACUUUGAUGGACAACUUACCUGCUUGAUUGAGAGUGCACCUUUUAGUGGAAGGAGGAGAUACAAGUUAUACAGCUGACACAGUAAUACUUUCAGAUGUGUCUUCCCCAAAGCGCCUCAGUAGGUGGCCGACAGACGUUUUUCCCAUGCCUACUUUUGCAUUAUAGAGUUGAAGCUUAGAGAAAGAAAUGCUGCCUUUAAAUGGGAUGGAACAUAUAUUCAGUUGUCUAGAGACCUAAAACAUGGCAUCUUAGAGAAAGUUGCUACUACUGUGUACAGUUUCAAGGCUUACCCAAAUGACAGAGAUAGGAAAGGCAGCUGAAGCUCUUGUUACGAAACCCCCGUCUGAAAGAGGCAGGAUCUAACACUGGGUGGAAUGGAUGGAAGAACAGCAUCAACUUCAAGAUGGGUAACUACAGAACCAAGUUGAGGAAAGCAGGAUGUCAGGAGGUCUCUGUAACGCAAGAAAAAUAAGCAGAAGGAAUCCAGAGAACGAACCAACGCAUUCAAAUAUAAAUAGAAUUAAGUGGGAUGAAGUUCAUUUUCUGCCAAACCAUUUCCUGCUGAGGCAGGAUAGGAUAGGAGUUCCCUGAUCUCUGAGUUGUAGGUGUAUGCAGAAUUCCAGUGAAUUACAAACCAGAACUUGCUAAACAUCUUCUAUGCUGAGAUUGACCAUCACACUCGGUUGAUGACCUUGUAUAGACAGAGGGCAUCGAAGACUGGAAGGACUGCUGACGCUUUGGUUGACAUUCUGAGGUGUCAUGAUCUACAGGAAAGGAACCCCAAAAGACAAUUCCUCUGUCACGGACGUGAUGAGAGACGGACCAAGGCGCAGCGUGAUUGGAGUUCCAUAUCUUUUAUUACUGUGAAACUUAAACAAACCAAGAAACAAACAACAACCGUGAAGUACCGUAGUGCUACAUGCACUCACUCAAAACAAUAUCCCACAAAACACAGGUGGGAAAAAGGCUACCUAAAUAUGAUCCCCAGUUAGUGUCAACACUUACCAGCUGCCUCUAAUUGGGAAACAUACAACUCACCAACAUAGAAAUACAAUGACUAGAACACCCCCCUAGUCACGCUCUGACCUAAACACCAUAGAGAACCAAGGGCUCUCACCAUAGAGAACCAACCCCCCCCCCCCCCCCCCACAAAGGUGCGGACUCCGGCCGCAAAACCUGAAAACAAAUGGGGAGGGUGGGGGGGGUGCCUAGUGUUGGUGGC